Molecule: microRNA precursor, 79 nt
Filed under: Ixodes scapularis (black-legged tick)
Lineage: Eukaryota; Metazoa; Arthropoda; Arachnida; Ixodida; Ixodidae
Description: miRNA
Rfam family: mir-8/mir-141/mir-200 microRNA precursor family (bases 9-75)
About the family: The bounds of the precursors are predicted based on conservation and base pairing and are not generally known.
Source: RNAcentral
GAGCACCCGUCAACAUCUUACCAGACAGCAUUAGAUUGAGCCUGAUUUCUAAUACUGUCAGGUAAAGAUGUCCGCGGGA